GGUCUCCCCAUGUGAGAGUAGGUCAUCGUCAAGC
Molecule: ribosomal RNA, 34 nt
Filed under: Pseudomonas aeruginosa
Lineage: Bacteria; Pseudomonadati; Pseudomonadota; Gammaproteobacteria; Pseudomonadales; Pseudomonadaceae
Source: RNAcentral